This is a long non-coding RNA of Lycium ferocissimum, 462 nucleotides long. RefSeq lists it as uncharacterized. The record is from RefSeq and is a predicted model, not a curated record. NCBI's taxonomy places the organism in Eukaryota, Viridiplantae, Streptophyta, Magnoliopsida, Solanales, Solanaceae. The transcript has 3 exons.
GGAGGCCGUCGACACACGAGUUCAUUGUUCUACGCCUGUGGGUCCACAGGAGCGACCCAUCCAAGCGACUACCUCAUAUUCACCACCACACCAUCUUAGGAGCUUAUUCAGGCGCCCGUUGACACACAGGUUCAUCCUUCGGCGCCUGAGGUGGCGACUCUCGAUGAGGUAGAGGUUGAGACACCAGACCUAACUCAGCCUGAGGUUCUGAGCGUGCCAGCAGGACCAGAUUCCAAGAAGAAGCACGUUCUAGUCAAGGGAGCAUGGGUCAGGCGAAGAGAUGAUGAUCAUGACUUGGAGCGCCCGGUUAUUAAGAGAAAAAAGAGCGAUGGAGACGAUGACGAGGGCGGUGGGGAUGGUAUGAGCCUUAGGCCUAGGGAUAGUCUCCGGCAUACUACAUGUGGGACCCAUCCUCGAUAGUGUAUAUACAUUAGUGUUGUAAAAUUUAUCGUAAAUAAUAUA